UGCAGUCAGUCCUUCCGCCGUGCGGCGGCGCUGCAGUUCUGGUGUCUCCAGCAGCAGCAGCAGAAGAAGAGAAGAAGAAGUUUAUUGUUUUGGUUAUUUAUCGGUUAUAUAUUGUUGUUAUGGAAAAUGAACUCUAAAUCUCUUUAGUUCUGAAUUGUGAAUCUGAUUUCUGAAUCUGGGCCCUAAUCAGUUGGUUCCCACUGACACUGUAUUUCCUUCUUUAAGGAAGAACAAGAUAUUAAAGCUCUGCAUAUAAAAAAACAGGAAGCGCUUGACCAAAGACAGGUCAACAGGGGGAGGGAGCGACCUGUUUUCUGGCCAGCAGCAGCAGUGAGGAGAUAGACACAGAGCUGCAGGAGUGACUGGAGUCCAGCUGUAAACAGGCGAGACGUGUGGUCAAAAUCUACGAGAACCUGAAGAACACAGUAGACCAGCUAAAGAAAGAUAUGGAGUGUGUGACAGAUGCAGAUGUCGCUGUGUGCCUCCUGACCAAUGAGAAUGAAGGGCUGCUGCAGCUGACCGACAGUCUCCAGCAGAAGCACAGUCACAUGACCAGCGAGUCUUGGCCUGGCGGCUAAUCGUGCUGAAUACAGAAUCAGCGAGAUGCAUGUUCUCACUGAGGAGCUGCAGUGAGACACGGAGAAGAUCAGACGGAGAGAGAACAUGCAGAGGUGCUGGAAAGGAAAGAUGAGGUAUCCUUGCAGUGUAAGGUCCGUAGUGAAGUGAUUCAGUUGGAAGACACGUUGGCACAGGUGCACAAGGAGUACGAGAUGCUCAGGAUCGAAUAUUAGCAGACAUUAGCUGCUAAUGAACAAGCAGCUGCGUGCUGAAUGUGAAGGAGGAGACCACCUCCAUCUGUCCCGACGGGUGAUGUUACUGUGAAGACUGAGGCAGAUAGCAGCUUCACCACACACAGCAGCGCUGGAGGACAUAUCCAAAGUGCGCAGGAAGAUAGAGAAGGCCAAGAAACCUGCGGAGAACAUUCGAAAUGGAGAUGAGAUCCUGGAUGAUGAAAUACAUUAUUACAAGGCCCUGUUGACGUGUCCAUGCUGCAAUUCACGUGUAAAGGACGCUGUUUUGAUAAAGUACUUCUAUGUGUUCUGUUUUGAGUGUGUGAAGACGCGCUUCGACACCCGUCAGAAAAGUGUCCAAAGUGCAAUGCCGCAUUUGGUGCCAGUGGUUUCCAUCGCAUCUACAUCAAAUGAGAUUCAUGAUUCACUGUAUCUGCAUCUGUUUGGUCCAGUUGCUCAACAUUGGAGGCCGGAGCUUGUCCUGUAUCUUUGGGCGAACAUCAACAGUUUUACAUUCCACUUGUUUUUUCUCUACAAAGACUUCCAGAAUUUUCAGUAAUUUUUGUACUGUC
This is a long non-coding RNA of Carassius auratus (goldfish), 1363 nucleotides long. RefSeq lists it as uncharacterized. The record is from RefSeq and is a predicted model, not a curated record. NCBI's taxonomy places the organism in Eukaryota, Metazoa, Chordata, Actinopteri, Cypriniformes, Cyprinidae. The transcript is spliced from 8 exons.